This 174-nucleotide ribosomal RNA is filed under the name uncultured bacterium. RNAcentral describes it as "partial 16S ribosomal RNA". It matches the Rfam family "Bacterial small subunit ribosomal RNA", at positions 1319 to 1500 of the family's 1533-position model. The record is from RNAcentral.
CAUGAAGCUGGAUUCGCUAGUAAUCGCGCAUCAGCCAUGGCGCGGUGAAUACGUUCCCGGGCCUUGUACACACCGCCCGUCAAGCCAUGGGAGCCGGGGGUGCCUGAAGUACGUGACCGCGAGGAGCGUCCUAGGGCAAAACUGGUGACUGGGGCUAAGUCGUAACAAGGUAAC